GGGAGGUCCUCAGCAAUCCCAGAAUGCUCUGGCUCCUCUGUGCACAGGGAUGGAUUGAAAAGCAGCGUGUCUCCCACCCCCCGGACCCGGAAGGCUGUCACAUCCCCCGCUGUCAGCGCUAGGGGGCCAGUAGAGAAGCCUCUGGGGGAGAUGUUUGCCCAGAAGACCAGCAUUCCAAACUGGGUCACGGCAAGCUGGAGUCUUCAUCAGUCCUAACCAGCUGGAGAUGCCAAGCCGACCAGAUGCUCCUCUUCCGUUACUUCCCAGUCGGCUUUCAAAUGACUGGUUUCCAUCCAACAAGGCUUAUAAUAAUGACUUGUUUAUAUCAUCCAUCUUCCUCCUGAGUAGCUGAGCUGGGAGUGAGAGAAGAGCAUAUAUAGCCAGGAAACUGCAAGACGCACAGCGAUUCUCAACCCUGCAAAACCCGACUCCCCUUUUCAAUGACUCUCAGUAAUAAAGCAAGAAGCCCCGGCUCACCAGGGAUGAAAAAAAAAACAAAACACAGAAGACACACCUGGGACUCUACUGUUAUUUCUGGACCAGAAGCCGACAAAGCAAAAUAAUCUUAUGAAGCAAUGGAGGCAAAUUAUUUGAUUGCCUAUAAUUCAGUCAUCUGCUUUCGUAUUGUUUUAUAAUGGGCAGAUUUCUAGACUUUACCUACUGUGUCUUCAUCUUACAAGCUUGGAGCUGCCAGAAGAAAAUUAUGCCCCAAACAGGUUUAAUUAGAGAGAUACUGGGUUGGAGCUCCCCAGGGAAAUGCUUGAUAUUACAGGAUGGGGAUGUUUAUGAUGGAGAAUUGAGGGCGGACAACCUAAAUUCACUCUAAGCGAGCAAGGUGGAGGGAAGCAGGGGAGGGUGGAGAACUGGGAAGGUGAAGAAAACAAGGUGGUCAGCAGUGAUCUGACCCAAGAGAAAGGAAAGCAGAGAUGACUUGUUCUCCAAUCUAGGGAAUUAGUGAAAUUUCAGGAUCUGAGGUCUUCUGGCCCACGAGUGACUGAAAGGCACAAAUGAGUAUUGUUGAACUGGGGAAGUCCAAAGGCCUGUCCUCUCCUGUUCUCACACCCCCUCUAAUUUAUAGACCCAAAUCACGGGAGAAGACAAAAGACUUUGUGUGUGCAUUGGUCAGUUCUCACAAGCUGGGUGUCCAGAAUGUAAUUUUUUUCUAAGUAAAAAUCAAAAGAAUACUAGGUGGUGAAUUAAUGCUUAUUCAGACACUUACUCAAUUAUUAUGUAUUUUAAUUCUCAUAACAAUAUUAAGUAUUACGGACCUAUAUUCCAAAUGAAAAACCGAGGGUCAGGGACGCUAAGCAAACAACUUCCUCCCCCAGUAGUUAAAUGACAGAGCUAAGAUUCUAAUCAAGGUCUGUCCAACCCCAGGAACUAUGUUUGCUUCCUUGGUCCAGAAAGAGGUAGACUAGGGUCCAGAGGGGUGUAGUCAGUCAGCGGUGCUACAUCCAACUACAACACAAACGGUGAGUCAGGAACUUUGCUCCGACAGGGAGACGUGGUUGAGUUCUGUACAUCUUGUGACACCUUCUAUCCCAGACUAGGUUUUCAAGGAUGUUUAUUUAACAGAGAUAGAGGUCUCUUCAGGAAAGAGGGCAAAUUUGUUUCCGGAUCAGGAUAAAAAUGAGAUAAUAUCUCCCUCCAGAGAUUAUGGUGUGGGCAAGUUUGCUAGUGCCCCCCCCGCAUAAGAGUGGGGGUUUCAACUUGAGCUUCCCUAGCUGUGACACAGAUCCACUGUGUGAACACUGUCCAUCUGCCUCGGCCUGCAACCCCACUGGGACUUGGGAGACACAGAGGAUUGGUAUGGCUGUGAGUAAUA
Molecule: long non-coding RNA, 1825 nt
Organism: Zalophus californianus (California sea lion)
Lineage: Eukaryota; Metazoa; Chordata; Mammalia; Carnivora; Otariidae
Exons: 3
Source: RefSeq, a predicted model, not a curated record